RNAcentral lists this ribosomal RNA (253 nucleotides) under uncultured bacterium. RNAcentral's name for it is "partial 16S ribosomal RNA". It matches the Rfam family "Bacterial small subunit ribosomal RNA", at positions 524 to 776 of the family's 1533-position model. The record is from RNAcentral.
UACGUAUGGUGCAAGCGUUAUCCGGAUUUACUGGGUGUAAAGGGAGCACAGGCGGCACGGCAAGCCUGAUGUGAAAGCCCGCGGCCCAACCGCGGGACUGCAUUGGGAACUACAGGGCUGGAGUGCCGGAGAGGUAGGCGGAAUUCCUAGUGUAGCGGUGAAAUGCGUAGAUAUUAGGAGGAACACCAGUGGCGAAGGCGGCCUACUGGACGGUGACUGACGCUGAGGCUCGAAAGCGUGGGGAGCAAACAGG